GACGAACGCUGGCGGCGUGCUUAAUACAUGCCAGUCGAACGAACGGACGCUGCGCUUGCUUCUCUGACGUUAGGCGCGGACGGGUGUAUAACACGAGGAUACUCUCCUCGUCAUACUGGGAUCAUUUCGAGAAUCCGGCUAUAAUACGGGAGAAUCUUCUGCACCGUGUGGUUCAAAAGUGAAAUACGGCCUUUGUGUAUCGUCUCGCUGCUUCCUAGCUGCAUUAGCUAGUUGGUAAGGAAACGGCUUACCAAGGCAAGUAUGCCUAGCCGACCUGAGGGGGGGAUCGGCCACACUGGAACUGAGACACGGUCCAGACUCCUACGGGAGGCAGCAGUAGGGAACCUUCCGCAAUGGGCGAAAGCCUGACGGAGCAACGCCGCGUGAGUGAUGAAGGUCUUCCGAUCGUAAAACUCGGUUAUUAGGGAAGAACAUAUGUGUAAGUAACUGUGCACAUCUUGACGGUACCUAAUCAGAAAGCCACGGCUAACUACGUG
RNAcentral lists this ribosomal RNA (497 nucleotides) under uncultured bacterium. RNAcentral describes it as "partial 16S ribosomal RNA". It matches the Rfam family "Bacterial small subunit ribosomal RNA", at positions 28 to 507 of the family's 1533-position model. The record is from RNAcentral.